Molecule: ribosomal RNA, 459 nt
Filed under: uncultured bacterium
Lineage: Bacteria
Description: partial 16S ribosomal RNA
Rfam family: Bacterial small subunit ribosomal RNA
Source: RNAcentral
ACGAACGCUGGCGGCGUGCUUAACACAUGCAAGUCGAGCGGUAAGGCCUCUUCGGGGGUACACGAGCGGCGAACGGGUGAGUAACACGUGGGUGACCUGCCCUCAGCUCUGGGAUAAGCCUGGGCAACUGGGUCUAAUACCGGAUAUGACCUUUCCUCGCAUGGGGUUUGGUGGAAAGUUUUUUCGGCUGGGGAUGGGCCCGCGGCCUAUCAGCUUGUUGGUGGGGUGAUGGCCUACCAAGGCGACGACGGGUAGCCGGCCUGAGAGGGCGACCGGCCACACUGGGACUGAGACACGGCCCAGACUCCUACGGGAGGCAGCAGUGGGGAAUAUUGCGCAAUGGGCGGAAGCCUGACGCAGCGACGCCGCGUGGGGGAUGACGGCCUUCGGGUUGUAAACCUCUUUCGACCCCGACGAAUUUGGACGGUAGGGGUAGAAGAAGCACCGGCCAACUACGUG